UUUUCUUGCCUUUUCUGGGCCGCACCCACGGCACAUAGAGGUUCCCAGGCUAGGGGUCUAAUUGGAGCUGUAGCCACCGGCCAUACUAGAGCCACAGCAACGCAGGAUCCAGGCCGCGCCUGUGACCUACACCACAGCUCACGGCAACGCCGGAUCCUUAACCCACUGAGCAAGGCCAGGGAUCAACCUCAUGGGUCCUAGUCGGAUUCCUUAACCACUGCGCCACACGGGAACUCCUAGAUUGUCUUUUAACUGGGGAUUUCAACAUCUCUUGAAAGGGAGCAAGGAUGUUUAAAAGAAGAAAAUGGCAAGAAUGAACAUGAACAUAUCUGCAGGCUAAGCAUAAGCUCUACUAUGAUGCCACUUAAUAAAUGAUUGCUGAGUAAAUAAAUGACUGCAUUUUAAAUAAAUGAAUGUCACGGAAAAAAUAAAAAUUAAAAAAGACUCAAAAAAGUGGUUUGAAAAAAGUUACUAAUAAACAAGAUGGAAUGAAAAAUAAAUAAAUAAAGACCCUUAGCCUCUUUGGAGACUCUACUUCCUCAUCUGUAAAAUGGAUACCAUAAUAUCUUUUGGCGGCCUUCACAAAAUUGCCAUGAAGAUCAAGUGGGAUAAAAGACAGUCGUUUAAUACCCUGGAGAAUCGUUCCGCAGUUAACUCAACCCACGGUCCCUGAGCACCAUGCAGCAGGCAUUGCUCCAGGUGCUGGGGACACAGCCACGCACCAAGCAAGCAAAGCCCUUGCUGACGCUCCACCAGGGAGCAAUGGAGAGUAAAACAGGAAACCUAGGAAGGAGGCAAAACCCUCAAGUAUGCCUUAAUGAUAGACACACUUAGAUGACAGGGCUAUGGGCAAAGGGGAAAGUAGAGCGGGGUAACGGGUGACUGGGGUUAGGAUGAGCUGCAAUUUAAAAUCAGGUAUUCACUGUUGGUGAGAAUAUAACCUGGUGUAGCCACUAUGGAGGAGAGUGUGGAGGUUCCUCAAAAACCUAAAAAUAGAGUUGCCAUAUGACCCAGCAAUCCUACUCGUGGGCAAAGAUCCAUACAAAACUGUGACUUGAAAAGAUACAUGCACCCCAAUGUUCAUAGCAGCCCUGUUCACAACAGCCAAGACACAGAAGCAACCUAAAUGUCCAUCAGCAGAUGAAUGGUAAAGAAGAUACACACACACACAAUGGAAUAUUACUCAGCCAUACAACAUGAAAUAAUGCCAUUGGCAACAAGAUGGAUGCAACUAGAGAUUAUCAUACUAAGCGAAGUAAGUCAGAAAGACAAAUACCAUAUGCUAUCACAUAUGUAGUCUCAAUUAUGACACAAAUGAACAUAUCUAUGAAAGAGAAAGAGACCCACAGACACAGAGAACAGACUCAUGGUUGCCAAGGUGGAGGAGGCGUGGGGGAGAGAAGGAUGGGAGUUAAUGUGCGAUUAGCAGAAGUAAACUAUUAAACAAGGUCCAACUGUAGAGCACAGAGAACUACAUUCAAUAUCCUGUGAUAAACCAUAAUGGAAAGCAUGUAUAUGUAUAUGUAGAAUGUAAUUACUUUGUUGUACAGCAGAAAUUAACCUGACACUGUAAAUCAAUUAUACCUCAAAAAUUUUAUUUAUUUUUUGUCUUUUGUCUUUUUAGGGCCACACCUGCGGCGCAGGGAGGUUCCCAGGCUAGGGGUCGAAUCAGAGCUGUAGCCGCUGGCCUACGCCAGAGCCACAGCAACGUGGCAUCCAAGCCACGUCUGCGACCCACACCACAGCUCACAGCAAUGCCAGAUCCUUAACCCACUGAGCGAGGCCAGGGAUCCAACCCAUAACCUCACGGUUCCUAGUCAGAUUUGUUUCCACUGUUCCACAAUGGGAACGCUUACUUCAGUAAAGUUUUAAAAUAAAUAAAUAAAAUAAAAUCAGGUGUUCAGAGUAGACCUCAUUGAAAGGUGACACUGUGUUGACAGUUUAAGGUGAAGGCGUUAGCUCUGCAGGCUCCUGGGUGACAAGUGUGACAGGUGGUAAAGCAGAGCUAUGCCUUCUGUGUCCCAGGCCAGUGGGACUGGUGCCCAAGAGCGAGGGAGUCAGGGGGGAGAGGUGGGAGGGGGGGAGAUGGUUCAGGGCCUGGUACAGAUGUGGACUUUCGCUCUGAGAGAAGCGGGCACCCCAGGCACCCUGGCACCCCUGGCUUCCGCUUAGAGGGCUCCCGCUGGCUACUGAGAUGAGAAGGAAUGUAGGUGGAAAUGGAAGAAGUGGGGCUAGGAGACUCGGCAGCAGGCCAGUCCAGGAAUCCAGCAGGGAGGCCCGAAGGAUUGCCUUCUGUAGACAUUUUGAAGGAAGAGCCAGGGGGAUGAGAGGAGACAGGUGUAUGAGCUGGAGAGGGUCAUUCAGAAUCCACGCGGAGAAAGGGGAACAGGGAGGAGGCAGUGGUCACGCAUGGCAAAUGCUAGGGGACAGGUCAGUCUGGCGAGGGCUGUGACUGCCUG
This 2459-nucleotide long non-coding RNA is filed under the name Sus scrofa (pig). RNAcentral's name for it is "lncRNA (ENSSSCG00060030278.1)". Lineage: Eukaryota; Metazoa; Chordata; Mammalia; Artiodactyla; Suidae. The record is from RNAcentral.